Long non-coding RNA from Nerophis ophidion (straightnose pipefish), 1095 nucleotides. RefSeq lists it as uncharacterized. The transcript is spliced from 3 exons. Lineage: Eukaryota; Metazoa; Chordata; Actinopteri; Syngnathiformes; Syngnathidae. The record is from RefSeq and is a predicted model, not a curated record.
CCUGCACUCUGCUAAAGGUGCAAAGCGACUGGAUCGGACACGAUGUGAAGGUAAUGACAUCGUGGAGAGGCGCAGCCGGCGAACGGGCAGCGGGGUAGUGCACGCUGUAACCCGGCCCAAGAUGGCGGCAAAGAGGCGGAGGAUACGGUCAAGCGGAGAGGCGGGGCGUGCUGGGAGCAACGCCUUGAUCGAGUUCAGGUUCAGAGAAUCUGGAGAAAUCACUCCAUGGCCGGAAACCAACAUUGAAUGACCGUGACCUUCCAUCCCUCAGACGGCACUGUAUCAAAAACCGACAUCAAUCUCUAAAGGAUAUCACCACAUGGGCUCAGGAACACUUCAGAAAACCACUGUCACUAAACACAGUUUGUCGCUACAUCUGUAAGUGCAAGUUAAAGCUCUACUAUGCAAAGCGAAAGCCAUUUAUCAACAACAUCCAGAAACGCCGCCGGCUUCUCUCGGCCCGAAGUCAUCUAAUAUGGACUGAUGCAAAGUGGAAAAGUUUUCUGUGGUCUAAAGAGUCCACAUUUCAAAUUGUUUUUGGAAAUAUUCGACAUGGUGUCAUCCGGACCAAAGGGGAAGCGAACCAUCCAGACUGUUAUCGAUGCAAAGUUCAAAAGCCAGCAUGUGUGAUGGUAUGGGGGUGCAUUAGUGCCCAAGGCAUGGGUAACUUACACAUGUGUGAUGGUAUGGGGGUGUAUUAGUGCCCAAGACAUGGGUAACUUACACAUGUGUGAUGGUAUGGGGGUGCAUUAGUGCCCAAGGCAUGGGUAACUUACACAUCUGUGAAGGCACCAUUAAUGCUGAAAGGUAGAUACAGGUUUUGGAACAACAUAUGCUGCCAUCUAAGCGCCGUCUUUUUCAUGGACGCCCCUGCUUAUUUCAGCAAGACAAUGCCAAGCCACAUUCAGCACAUGUUACAACUGCGUGGCUUCAUAAAAAAACAGUGCGGGUACUUUCCUGGCCCACCUGCAGUCCAGACCUGUCUCCCAUGGAAAAUGUGUGGCGCAUUAUGAAGCGUAAAAUAGUGUUGUUAAAAGAAAAGGUGAUGUAACACAGUGGUGAACAUGCCCUUUCCCAACUACUUUGGCACAUGUU